RNAcentral lists this long non-coding RNA (1493 nucleotides) under Brassica napus (rape). Its description in RNAcentral is "long non-coding RNA (BNAP_LNC013527)". Lineage: Eukaryota; Viridiplantae; Streptophyta; Magnoliopsida; Brassicales; Brassicaceae. The record is from RNAcentral.
CUUACCAACCUUAGAGCAUCAUUAUCGCCCGUCUUUAGAGGGUAUCUUAUGUUUAAUUUGAUUUAAAAAAAAAUCAAAAAGAGAAAUAAACCGUAGAGGCGUCUCUUAAUUUGGUACAUGAAGAGCCGUCUCUUCUCUUCCUCUCUUCGCCUUCCUCUCUUCCUUUCUCUCUCUCUCUUCCUCUCUGUCUCUCUCCACUCCCUCUCCCAUGGCGGCUUCUUCUACCUUCUCCUCAUCAGCUCUUCUCUCAAACAACCGCACUCCACCGCUAUGCUGCUCUGUCAGACCCUCGAUCUCUUCAUCCCCGAUGCCCAGGAGAAGAUCCGUAUUUUUGCUGAAUCCUUUUGUGGAUGCGAUGAUUGCUUCGAAAACGCCGGCUUGGGUCCAUGCGGGUUUGCGGAGAUAUGAUAUUUUGAGAGCCCAAGACUUGAACUUUCUGUUCGGAAGCCUCCACCCUUUGAAGGAAACGCUCAAAGACAGAGACUUUAAGUAUGGUGGUGAACGGUUUUGACGAGGAAACAUAGCUUCAGGUCUGUCAAUGGAGGUGGUGAGACAGAGUUUUGAAAGAUGGGUUUUUUGUAUCGUGAGCUAAAGAAGAAGAUGGAAGAGAAAGUUUUUUUCUUUCUGUCUCUGUACUUUUCUUCUUUGAUUUAACGUUGAAGAAUAAAAUAACGUUGGAGAGAUGAUGGUGCUAGGAGCUGGAGUGCAACAGCUCCUUUUGGGAUAAUUAGAAAGAAACUAGAUGCAGUCGAGCGGGAUGGAGAGGCUGAUAAAAGCGCAGCAGACUCAUCACAUCAAGAACUCGGAGAAGAAGGUUCUCAUCAAGAAAGUUAGGUAUGGGCAGUUUAUAGCUUUUAAAAGUUACUGCUUUGAUUGAUUUAGUGAGUGAGAUAUGAAUAAAAAGGUUGAGAUUUUAAUAAAGAUGGAACAAGAACGUAGAGUUUAGGUUAUGUUCUUUGACCGUUGGUGUAGAGUAAGUUUAAUGGUUGCUCUGUUUGGUUGGUGAGAUGUUUGGAAUCAUGUACUCACAGUUGAUCUGCUAAUGAAAUGUUUUUGGGUAUGAGAAAAAGAAUGAGACUUUAGUAAAGAUGUUACCAAGAACAUACACUCUAGGAUAUGUUGUUGGACCAUUGCUGCAGACUAAGCUUAAUGGUUGGUUGCUCUGUUUGGUUGGUGAUAUAUCUAGAAUUAUGUACUCACGUUUAAUCUGCUUAUGAAAUUUUUUGGAUGCUGCAAGAACAACAUACACUCUAGGAUCUGUUCUCGGAUCAUUGUUGUAGAGCAAGCUUUGUGUUUAUAAUAGGAGUCUACUUGAUGUAAUGUUUCUCUCGUGUUCUUCUUUGCAGAGGUUUAUAAGAGAUGAGCUGCUGCUAUAACCAUUCAUUCCAUUACAUUCUCUAUAUAUGUGUUUAUUCAGGUCGGUCAUUUUAUAGACAAAGUCAUUCACUCAUCAAACAAGUUCCUUCAUCUCUCCUUCUCACAAUCAUCGCACA